This 495-nucleotide ribosomal RNA is filed under the name Nakaseomyces glabratus. RNAcentral's name for it is "LSU rRNA". It matches the Rfam family "Eukaryotic large subunit ribosomal RNA", at positions 69 to 566 of the family's 3401-position model. Lineage: Eukaryota; Fungi; Ascomycota; Saccharomycetes; Saccharomycetales; Saccharomycetaceae. The record is from RNAcentral.
CUGGGAUUGCCUUAGUAACGGCGAGUGAAGCGGCAAAAGCUCAAAUUUGAAAUCUGGUACCUUUGGUGCCCGAGUUGUAAUUUGGAGAGUACCACUUUGGGACUGUACUUUGCCUAUGUUCCUUGGAACAGGACGUCAUGGAGGGUGAGAAUCCCGUGUGGCGAGGGUGUCAGUUCUUUGUAAAGGGUGCUCGAAGAGUCGAGUUGUUUGGGAAUGCAGCUCUAAGUGGGUGGUAAAUUCCAUCUAAAGCUAAAUACAGGCGAGAGACCGAUAGCGAACAAGUACAGUGAUGGAAAGAUGAAAAGAACUUUGAAAAGAGAGUGAAAAAGUACGUGAAAUUGUUGAAAGGGAAGGGCAUUUGAUCAGACAUGGUGUUUUGCGCCCCUUGCCUCUCGUGGGCUUGGGACUCUCGCAGCUCACUGGGCCAGCAUCGGUUUUGGCGGCCGGAAAAAACCUAGGGAAUGUGGCUCUGCGCCUCGGUGUAGAGUGUUAUAG